Molecule: ribosomal RNA, 279 nt
Filed under: uncultured bacterium
Lineage: Bacteria
Description: partial 16S ribosomal RNA
Rfam family: Bacterial small subunit ribosomal RNA
Source: RNAcentral
UGCCAGCAGCCGCGGUAAUACGGAGGGUGCACGCGUUAAUCGGAAUUACUGGGCGUAAAGCGCGCGUAGGUGGUCUGUUAAGUCAGAUGUGAAAUCCCCGAGCUCAACUUGGGAACUGCGUUUGAAACCGUAAGACUAGAGUGUGUCAGAGGGGGGUAGAAUUCCACGUGUAGCAGUGAAAUGCGUAGAUAUGUGGAGGAAUACCAAUGGCGAAGGCAGCCCCCUGGGAUAACACUGACGCUCAUGAACGAAAGCGUGGGGAGCAAACAGGAUUAGAUA